ACCCUACUCUAAUAAGGUUUUGAUAUCUGGAGCACAUAGGUGGGAGACACCUAAUACAUACUUACAAGUCAUUUAUUGCAUAGUCAAACCAUGGAUCCAGAGAAACAAGUCAAUAAGUCAAUAUCAAGAUGUGCAUGUGUGACGAAUGAAUGGUGUAUGGUGAUGAUGGUGAAAACAAUGGUGAAAGUCUAAUUCUUCUUUUGAGGGGAUACAUACCUUUCUUGCACUUUGAAGCUUUUUGAGGGGAAUGAGAUGCUCUAUAUUUUCUUUUUCUUUUUCUCUCAGGUGGGUAUCUUGUACCCCUAAUUAUACUGUCGGACACUUGUCCAUUUUUACCUCUCGUCUCACUUUUUUCUUUUCUUCGAGGUUCCGGACAUUUGCCCCUUUUUAUUUCCUUGUAUUCACUCUUUUUUUAGAGCACUCACCCUUUUGGAAUAAUGUAGAAAGUGGUAGUAACCAAAAUAUCUCGAGUAUUUAUUUCACGGGGAAUAACAGUGAUAGGAUAAUGUUUUUGGCUAUUCUCUCCUGGAUAGGGGUAGAAUAAUUUUGGGUGAAUCUAGAGAUGGAAAUGAGUGGAUGUAUGUGGAUGCGUACUUCCAGAGUAGAAGCAGCAUGUACGAGUGAACGUGCAAGUGAAUGUUGAUUUUAACUG
Molecule: long non-coding RNA, 652 nt
Filed under: Sorghum bicolor (sorghum)
Lineage: Eukaryota; Viridiplantae; Streptophyta; Magnoliopsida; Poales; Poaceae
Description: long non-coding RNA (SBIC_LNC012896)
Source: RNAcentral